This 489-nucleotide ribosomal RNA is filed under the name uncultured bacterium. Its description in RNAcentral is "bacterial SSU rRNA". It matches the Rfam family "Bacterial small subunit ribosomal RNA", at positions 29 to 525 of the family's 1533-position model. The record is from RNAcentral.
AGCGAACGUUUGCGGCGGGCUUAACACAUGCAAGUCGAACGAGAAUCCCUUCGGGGAGGAAAGUGGCGCACGGGUGCGUAACACGUGGAUGACCUACCCCUUGGUUCGGGACAACAGCGGGAAACUGCUGCUAAUACCGGAUGUGUCGUAGCAAUACGAGAAAGGCCCGCAAGGGUCGCCAGAGGACGGGUCCGCGUCCCAUCAGCUAGUUGGUGAGGUAAUGGCUCACCAAGGCGAAGACGGGUAGCUGGUCUGAGAGGAUGAUCAGCCACACUGGAACUGAGACACGGUCCAGACUCCUACGGGAGGCAGCAGUGGGGAAUAUUGCGCAAUGGGCGAAAGCCUGACGCAGCCACGCCGCGUGAGCGAUGAAGGUCUUCGGAUCGUAAAGCUCUGUGGGGGGAGAAGAAGAAAGUCGGUGAAGAGCCGGCCCUGACGGUAUCCCCUUAGCAAGCACCGGCUAACUCCGUGCCAGCAGCCGCGGUAAUG